RNAcentral lists this ribosomal RNA (197 nucleotides) under uncultured bacterium. RNAcentral's name for it is "partial 16S ribosomal RNA". It matches the Rfam family "Bacterial small subunit ribosomal RNA", at positions 328 to 539 of the family's 1533-position model. The record is from RNAcentral.
ACGCUCGACACCUACGGAGGCAGCAGUGGGGAAUAUUGCACAAUGGGGGAAACCCUGAUGCAGCGACGCCGCGUGGAGGAAGAAGGUCUUCGGAUUGUAAACUCCUGUUGUUGGGGAAAAAGAGGAUGGUACCCAACAAGGAAGUGACGGCUAACUACGUGCCAGCGGCCGUGGUAAUCUGAGCGGGCUGGCAAGGC